GCCCUGCCUCCAGCCAGACCCUACCUCCAGUCAGCCCCUGCCCUGCCUCCAGCCAGCAAUUCACCCCUGCCGGGGCCCCUCCGAAAAUGUUGGAAUUAGGCCGGGCCCUUCCUAAAGCCGGCCCUGACUGUAACUGCCAGGCGAACAGGGCAAAGAUGCAGAAAGAGAUCCAGCUUUAAGCCAGUUUUUCCUUACCAGAUAACGGUGUUACGGGGCUUAGUAACCACCAAUGAAGUGUUAACACGGCAUGGUCUUUGUCUGAAAGUGUAUAAAAAGCUUGUGAAACUUGUGUGCAGUAGAGUUUUCUGUAUCUGCUACAGAGCUCUCCUUUCUUCUGCAAA
Mauremys mutica (yellowpond turtle) is the source of this 341-nucleotide long non-coding RNA. RefSeq lists it as uncharacterized. NCBI's taxonomy places the organism in Eukaryota, Metazoa, Chordata, Testudines, Geoemydidae. The record is from RefSeq and is a predicted model, not a curated record. The transcript has 3 exons.